GCCUGGUUCUAGGAGUAGGUAUCUGCCUGGUUCUAGGAGUAGGUAUCUGCCUGGUUCUAGGAGUAGGUAUCUGCCUGGUUCUAGGAGUAGGUAUCUGCCUGGUUCUAGGAGUAGGUAUCUGCCUGGUUCUAGGAGUAGGUAUCUGCCUGGUUCUAGGAGUAGGUAUCUGCCUGGUUCUAGGAGUAGGUAUCUGCCUGGUUCUAGGAGUAGGUAUCUGCCUGGUUCUAGGAGUAGGUAUCUGCCUGGUUCUAGGAGUAGGUAUCUGCCUGGUUCUAGGAGUAGGUAUCUGCCUGGUUCUAGGAGUAGGUAUCUGCCUGGUUCUAGGAGUAGGUAUCUGCCUGGUUCUAGGAGUAGGUAUCUGCCUGGUUCUAGGAGUAGGUAUCUGCCUGGUUCUAGGAGUAGGUAUCUGCCUGGUUCUAGGAGUAGGUUUUUGCCUGGUUCUAGGAGUAGGUUUCUGCCUGGUUCUAGGAGUAGGUAUCUGCCUGGUUCUAGGUGUACGUCGAGGUUUAGCAACACAUGGAGUUUGUUUCCCACUGGGGUCAUGUCCAAUGUUCCCUGUUUAAAUCCCACUGGGGUCAUGUCCAAUGAUCCCUGUUUAAAUCCCAUUGGGGUCAUGUCCAAUGUUCCCUGUUUAAAUCCCACUGGGGUCAUGUCCAAUGUUCCCUGUUUAAAUCCCACUGGGGUCAUGUCCAAUGUUCCCUGUUUAAAUCCCACUGGGGUCAUGUCCAAUGUUCCCUGUUUAAAUCCCACUGGGGUCAUGUCCAAUGUUCCCUGUUUAAAUCCCACUGGGGUCAUGUCCAAUGUUCCCUGUUUAAAUCCCAUUGGGGUCAUGUCCAAUGUUCCCUGUUUAAAUCCCACUGGGGUCAUGUCCAAUGUUCCCUGUUUAAAUCCCAUUGGGGUCAUGUCCACUGAGCAAGUCAGGUCUUGUGAGCAGAAACUUGAACUUUCUGUGCAACUUCCUGUUUACAGUGAACACUGAGGCUGUACCAUCAGUUUUAGACAGUAACCAAUAGGCUGUACCAUCAGUUUUAGACAGUAGCCAAUAGGUUGUACCAUCAGUUUUAGACAGUAACCAAUAGGUUGUACCAUCAGUUUCAGACAGUAACCAAUAGGCGGUACCAUCAGUUUUAGACAGUAACCAAUAGGCGGUACCAUCAGUUUUAGACAGUAACCAAUAGGCUGUACCAUCAGUUUUAGACAGUAGCCAAUAGGCUGUACCAUCAGUUUUAGACAGUAACCAAUAGGCUGUACCAUCAGUUUUAGACAGUAACCAAUAGGCUGUACCAUCAGUUUUAGACAGUAACCAAUAGGCUGUACCAUCAGUUUUAGACAGUAACCAAUAGGCUGUACCAUCAGUUUUAGACAGUAACCAAUAGGUUGUACCAUCAGUUUUAGACAGUAACCAAUAGGCGGUACCAUCAGUUUUAGACAGUAACCAAUAGGCUGUACCAUCAGUUUUAGACAGUAACCAAUAGGCUGUACCAUCAGUUUUAGACAGUAACCAAUAGGCGGUACCAUCAGUUUUAGCCAAUAAGCUAUUUGGCAUAAUGUUCUCCUAUCAGAGUGGCCUACCAAUAGAGAAAAUCCCAGAACAUUUUCACCAAUAGGCUGUACCAUCAGUUUUAGACAGUAACCAAUAGGUUGUACCAUCAGUUUUAGACAGUAACCAAUAGGCUGUACCAUCAGUUUUAGACAGUAACCAAUAGGCUGUACCAUCAGUUUUAGACAGUAACCAAUAGGCUGUACCAUCAGUUUUAGACAGUAACCAAUAGGUUGUACCAUCAGUUUUAGACAGUAACCAAUAGGCUGUACCAUCAGUUUUAGACAGUAACCAAUAGGCUGUACCAUCAGUUUUAGACAGUAACCAAUAGGUUGUACCAUCAGUUUUAGACAGUAACCAAUAGGCUGUACCAUCAGUUUUAGACAGUAACCAAUAGGUUGUACCAUCAGUUUUAG
Molecule: long non-coding RNA, 1956 nt
Organism: Oncorhynchus keta (chum salmon)
Lineage: Eukaryota; Metazoa; Chordata; Actinopteri; Salmoniformes; Salmonidae
Exons: 4
Source: RefSeq, a predicted model, not a curated record